RNAcentral lists this ribosomal RNA (489 nucleotides) under uncultured bacterium. RNAcentral's name for it is "bacterial SSU rRNA". It matches the Rfam family "Bacterial small subunit ribosomal RNA", at positions 8 to 518 of the family's 1533-position model. The record is from RNAcentral.
AGAGUUUGAUUCUGGCUCAGAAUGAACGCUGGCGGCAUGGAUUAGGCAUGCAGGUCGAACGUGCUCCCUUCGGGGAGAAAGUGGCGAAAGGGUGAGUAACACGUGAGCAACCUGCCUCCGGAUCCGGAAUAAUCCAGGGAAACUUGGUCUAAAACCGGAUGAAGACAUUGGUCCGCAUGGUCUAAUGUUAAAAUAUUUAUAGUCCGGAGAGGGGCUCGCGGCCCAUUAGCUUGUUGGCGGGGUAAUGGCCCACCAAGGCUACGACGGGUAGGUGGUCUGAGAGGAUGGUCACCCACACUGGGACUGAGACACUGCCCAGACUCCUACGGGAGGCUGCAGUCGAGAAUCUUCCGCAAUGGGCGCAAGCCCUGACGGAGCGAUGCCGCGUGAGGGAUGAAGGCCUUCGGGUUGUAAACCUCUGUCAUCCGGGACGAAAACAAUGACGGUACCGGAAAAGGAAGCCACGGCUAACCACGUGCCAGCCGCGGC